CCAGACGGCUGGACGGUCGCUGCAUUCGGGAUGAGGAUUCCGGAUGUGGAGGAAAGUCCGGGCUCCAUGGAAAAACGGUACCGGCUAACAGCCGGCGGGGGCGACCCCAGGGACAGUGCCACAGAAAACAGACCGCCCGCCGGGCUGUUUCCGCGCGAAACAUGCCGCGGGCAAGGGCGAAACGGUGCGGUAAGAGCGCACCGCGGCUCCGGCAACGAAGCCGGUCACGGUAAACCCUACCGGGAGCAAGACCGAAUAGGAACGGCAUGCCAUCUCUGGUGGCAGGAGUUUUUCACUCUGUCGUUCGGGUUGGUCGCGUGAGGCAUGCAGCAAUGCAUGUCCCAGAGGAAUGAUCGUCCCGCUUCUGAAGCGGACAGAACCCGGCUUACACGCCGUCUGGCUUU
This 404-nucleotide RNase P RNA is filed under the name Gluconobacter morbifer G707. Its description in RNAcentral is "Bacterial RNase P class A". It matches the Rfam family "Bacterial RNase P class A". Rfam says of the family: Ribonuclease P (RNase P) is a ubiquitous endoribonuclease, found in archaea, bacteria and eukarya as well as chloroplasts and mitochondria. Its best characterised activity is the generation of mature 5'-ends of tRNAs by cleaving the 5'-leader elements of precursor-tRNAs. Cellular RNase Ps are ribonucleoproteins. Lineage: Bacteria; Pseudomonadati; Pseudomonadota; Alphaproteobacteria; Acetobacterales; Acetobacteraceae. The record is from Rfam by way of RNAcentral.